This is a small nuclear RNA of Nannospalax galili (Upper Galilee mountains blind mole rat), 107 nucleotides long. The record is from Ensembl. Lineage: Eukaryota; Metazoa; Chordata; Mammalia; Rodentia; Spalacidae.
GUGCUGAUGUUGGCGGCACAUAUACUAAAAUUGGAAAGACACAGAGCAGAUUAGCAUGACCCCUGCCCUGGGAUGGCAUGCAAAUUUGUGAAGCAGCACGUAUUUUU